GAUGAACGCUAGCUACAGGCUUAACACAUGCAAGUCGAGGGGCAGCAUGGUCGAAGCUUGCUUCGACUGAUGGCGACCGGCGCACGGGUGCGUAACGCGUAUCGAACCUGCCCUAUACACGGGGAUAGCCUUGCGAAAGUAAGAUUAAUACCCGAUGCCAAGUUGAGAUCGCAUGAUUUUGAUUUGAAAGAAAUUCGGUAAAGGAUGGCGAUGCGUCCCAUUAGUUAGUUGGCGGGGUAACGGCCCACCAAGACGACGAUGGGUAGGGGUUCUGAGAGGAAGGUCCCCCACAUUGGAACUGAGACACGGUCCAAACUCCUACGGGAGGCAGCAGUGAGGAAUAUUGGUCAAUGGGCGGAAGCCUGAACCAGCCAAGUAGCGUGCAGGAAGACGGCCCUAUGGGUUGUAAACUGCUUUCAGUCGGGAAUAAUUCGUCGGUCGUGACCGGCGUUGCAGGUACCGUCAUAAGAAGGACCGGCUAAUUCCGUG
RNAcentral lists this ribosomal RNA (489 nucleotides) under uncultured bacterium. Its description in RNAcentral is "bacterial SSU rRNA". It matches the Rfam family "Bacterial small subunit ribosomal RNA", at positions 28 to 507 of the family's 1533-position model. The record is from RNAcentral.